Long non-coding RNA from Arvicola amphibius (Eurasian water vole), 506 nucleotides. RefSeq lists it as uncharacterized. Lineage: Eukaryota; Metazoa; Chordata; Mammalia; Rodentia; Cricetidae. The transcript is spliced from 3 exons. The record is from RefSeq and is a predicted model, not a curated record.
GGUGCGCGAGUGGUGGUGGUUUUCACAGGACUCCUUUUUGGCUGGAGACCUGGCUCUUCCCUACCUCCUGCGGUGCUUUUUAUAGGCGAUCACAGGGAAGGUCCACCCCGUGGUGACCUCGGACCUCAGCAAAGUCUCAAAAACCAUUUCAGUGUCCCCUCUCACAUGCUCGGAAAGACCAUGUCUUCCCGGCUGUCCAAAGAACUGCGGCGGAAGUACAACGUCCGCUCCGUUCCCAUCCGCAAGGACGACGAGGUCCAGAUAUGAAGAAACUGAAACUCAAGCUAAAUAGUGAGCUGAGGAUGACCUUGAACCUCUGAUCUUCCUGAAUGCCGGCCUGAGAACACAGGCACGUGCUCCUGUACUAGACGUACACAGUGCCAGGCACGUGCUCCUGUACUAGGUGACACAUGGAAGCCAGAAUGGGAUUUAGAUCCUCUAUGGACAUGCAUCUGCAGUUGACUCCGAUUGGGUAUCAGAAGGUCAACAGGCACCAUGACUUUGUC